Non-coding RNA from Cyanistes caeruleus (blue tit), 357 nucleotides. Lineage: Eukaryota; Metazoa; Chordata; Aves; Passeriformes; Paridae. The record is from RefSeq and is a predicted model, not a curated record.
AUCUUUCCGGCGAUCUCCUUCUAUGCUCCUUCCCUCCACUCUGUUUCCUCCCAUCCGGAAAACCUCUCAGUCUUCCAACAGAAGAGAAAUGUGCAGCUUUGAGAAGGAGAGUGGGAAAAAUGGCAGUGGCUAUGAUGAUGACACUGGAAAACGAGAGGAGCUGAGGUCAAAGGGAAAAAGGUGUAAGGCUUCCUUGCUGUAUCCCACUGAAGGGGAUAAGAAGAAGGAAUCACUGUGUCUCCCUCUGAUCCCCCCGAUACGCAGGGCAGUAAGUCCCGAUGUUGGCAGUGCUGCAGGGUCUCUGCAAAGCUCUCUGCAGCUGGAUGUGCAAGAGUCCCAGGAGAUGAGGUAAGCCAA